UGCGGUGUAACUCAAUCGGUAGAGUAAUACAUCAACGCGGCCUUGCCAUGCUGGCCGUGGGAGGUGGAGUCAAGAUGUUGAAUGUCCAGCUCUGGUGUGGGUUCGAGUCCCAUCACUGCAA
RNAcentral lists this transfer RNA (121 nucleotides) under Cronobacter malonaticus. RNAcentral describes it as "tRNA-Val". It matches the Rfam family "tRNA". Rfam says of the family: Transfer RNA (tRNA) molecules are approximately 80 nucleotides in length. Lineage: Bacteria; Pseudomonadati; Pseudomonadota; Gammaproteobacteria; Enterobacterales; Enterobacteriaceae. The record is from RNAcentral.